CUGGAACGCGCCUCGGCGCACCCAGAAACCCUUUGUGAACUUAUACCUUACUGUUGCCUCGGCGCAGGCCGGCCCCUCCACCGGGGCCCCUCGGAGACGAGGAGCAGCCCGCCGGCGGCCAACCAAACUCUUGUUUCUUAGUGAAUCUCUGAGUAAAAAAACAUAAAUGAAUCAAAACUUUCAACAACGGAUCUCUUGGUUCUGGCAUCGAUGAAGAACGCAGCGAAAUGCGAUAAGUAAUGUGAAUUGCAGAAUUCAGUGAAUCAUCGAAUCUUUGAACGCACAUUGCGCCCUCUGGUAUUCCGGAGGGCAUGCCUGUUCGAGCGUCAUUUCAACCCUCAAGCCUGGCUUGGUGUUGGGGCACUGCUUCGAGAGAAGCAGGCCCUGAAAUCUAGUGGCGAGCUCGCCAGGACCCCGAGCGUAGUAGUUAUAUCUCGUUCUGGAAGGCCCUGGCGGUGCCCUGCCGUUAAACCCCCAACUUCUGAAAUUUUGACCUCG
This 498-nucleotide ribosomal RNA is filed under the name Diaporthe sp. FLS-2010. Its description in RNAcentral is "eukaryotic LSU rRNA". The stretch from base 176 to 329 matches the Rfam family "5.8S ribosomal RNA". Lineage: Eukaryota; Fungi; Ascomycota; Sordariomycetes; Diaporthales; Diaporthaceae. The record is from RNAcentral.